This 252-nucleotide ribosomal RNA is filed under the name uncultured bacterium. Its description in RNAcentral is "partial 16S ribosomal RNA". It matches the Rfam family "Bacterial small subunit ribosomal RNA", at positions 524 to 776 of the family's 1533-position model. The record is from RNAcentral.
GACGUAGGGGAUAAGCGUUGUUCGGAAUUAUUGGGCGUAAAGGGCAUGUAGGCGGUCUUGUAAGUCUGGUGUGAAAUGGUUGGGCUUAACCCAAUCCUGCAUUGGAAACUGUGAGACUAGAAUCACUGAGGGGGAGAUAGAAUUCCAGGUGUAGGGGUGAAAUCUGUAGAUAUCUGGAAGAAUACCAGUGGCGAAGGCGAUCUCCUGGCAGAUGAUUGACGCUGAGGUGCGAAGGUAUGGGGAGCAAACAGG